This 476-nucleotide ribosomal RNA is filed under the name uncultured bacterium. RNAcentral's name for it is "partial 16S ribosomal RNA". It matches the Rfam family "Bacterial small subunit ribosomal RNA", at positions 30 to 507 of the family's 1533-position model. The record is from RNAcentral.
UUGCACGCUGGCGGCAUGCCUUACCCAUGCAGGUCGCACGGUAACAGGUUAAGCUGACGAGUGGCGAACGGGUGAGUAAUACAUCGGAACGUGCCCAGUAGUGGGGGAUAGCCCGGCGAAAGCCGGAUUAAUACCGCAUACGACCUAAGGGUGAAAGGGGGGGAUCGCAAGACCUCUCGCUAUUGGAGCGGCCGAUGUCAGAUUAGCUAGUUGGUGGGGUAAAAGCUCACCAAGGCGACGAUCUGUAGCUGGUCUGAGAGGACGACCAGCCACACUGGGACUGAGACACGGCCCAGACUCCUACGGGAGGCAGCAGUGGGGAAUUUUGGACAAUGGGCGCAAGCCUGAUCCAGCCAUGCCGCGUGCGGGAAGAAGGCCUUCGGGUUGUAAACCGCUUUUGUCAGGGAAGAAAUCCUUUGGGUUAAUACCUCGGGGGGAUGACGGUACCUGAAGAAUAAGCACCGGCUAACUACGUG